Molecule: ribosomal RNA, 490 nt
Filed under: uncultured bacterium
Lineage: Bacteria
Description: bacterial SSU rRNA
Rfam family: Bacterial small subunit ribosomal RNA
Source: RNAcentral
AGAGUUUGAGUUAUGGCUCAGAAUGAACGCUGGCGGCAUGGAUUAGGCAUGCAAGUCGAACGUGCUCCCUUCGGGGAGAAAGUGGCGAAAGGGUGAGUAACACGUGAGCAACCUGCCUCCGGAUCCGGAAUAAUCCAGGGAAACUUGGUCUAAAACCGGAUGAAGACAUUGGUCCGCAUGGUCUAAUGUUAAAAUAUUUAUAGUCCGGAGAGGGGCUCGCGGCCCAUUAGCUUGUUGGCGGGGUAAUGGCCCACCAAGGCUACGACGGGUAGGUGGUCUGAGAGGAUGGUCACCCACACUGGGACUGAGACACUGCCCAGACUCCUACGGGAGGCUGCAGUCGAGAAUCUUCCGCAAUGGGCGCAAGCCCUGACGGAGCGAUGCCGCGUGAGGGAUGAAGGCCUUCGGGUUGUAAACCUCUGUCAUCCGGGACGAAAACAAUGACGGUACCGGAAAAGGAAGCCACGGCUAACCACGUGCCAGCCGCGGC